RNAcentral lists this ribosomal RNA (465 nucleotides) under uncultured Pseudoxanthomonas sp. Its description in RNAcentral is "bacterial SSU rRNA". It matches the Rfam family "Bacterial small subunit ribosomal RNA", at positions 338 to 795 of the family's 1533-position model. Lineage: Bacteria; Pseudomonadati; Pseudomonadota; Gammaproteobacteria; Lysobacterales; Lysobacteraceae. The record is from RNAcentral.
CCUACGGGAGGCUGCAGUGGGGAAUAUUGGACAAUGGGCGCAAGCCUGAUCCAGCCAUGCCGCGUGAGUGAAGAAGGCCCUCGGGUUGUAAAGCUCUUUUGUUGGGAAAGAAAUCCUGUUGGUUAAUACCUGGCAGGGAUGACGGUACCCAAAGAAUAAGCACCGGCUAACUUCGUGCCAGCAGCCGCGGUAAUACGAAGGGUGCAAGCGUUACUCGGAAUUACUGGGCGUAAAGCGUGCGUAGGUGGUUGUUUAAGUCUGUCGUGAAAGCCCUGGGCUCAACCUGGGAAUUGCGAUGGAUACUGGGCGACUAGAAUGUGGUAGAGGGUGGCGGAAUUCCCGGUGUAGCAGUGAAAUGCGUAGAGAUCGGGAGGAACAUCCGUGGCGAAGGCGGCCACCUGGACCAACAUUGACACUGAGGCACGAAAGCGUGGGGAGCAAACAGGAUUAGAUACCCCUGUAGUC